CUGAAAAUUUUGUUUAAUGUACCUUGUUCAACAGAAAUAUUCACUAGUUGCCUGAUGUCAUUAAUUAUUUUGAAGAAAAAUCUGGAUGUUGAUUAAAUCUGAUUUGUCAGAUUUAGCUUAUAUCUUUUCAGCCUCUAGUCUGUUGUAGUUUUUCUUCUGAAUAUUUUAAAAGAACUCUUAAAAUAUAAUAAGCACAACAGCAGAAUCAUUUAGAAUAGUAUUUCAUGCCAGCUGAAAGGAAUUCCAAGGAAAAAGAAUAUGACUGAUGUAAAGCAUGGUUCUUUAGAAGAAGUGACAAAUCUCCAGCCUUUAGGAAAGUUAUGAAAGUCCUAGAAGAAAGUGCUCCAACAUCAGGAGAGGAAUGUUUUUUUAUUCUGGAUUGGAGACCAAUAUGGGGAAGGAUGUGGAGGGAGUGCUUCAAAGACAGCAAUUCUAAGAAGUCUCUUUGAAGCUUAAAAUGAGAAAUAUGCUCCCCUGCUCCUUGUCUGCUGGAAUUCAGUCUUGAGAAAUGGGAUCAGCUGAUGAAAUAAAAUAUGUCUAUGACCACAGCAGAGAUUCCAUGGCAAUCAGCAUAUUAGCUUCCAAACAAUUCCUUUUAAAGUUGUGAGGGGAAUUUCACUCAGCAAUGCACAGAUCUGCAGUUAUAAAUCCAAAUUACCAUGUGAAUAGAGAAUUCAAGAAAUUACCAUGUUCCAUCUGAUCUCUCUCAAAAAGCCUUCUCUGAGCAGUCCCAACACAGUGUUUAUCAGUCUUUAAAAAUUAUAUGAAGAUUUAUUUAUAUGGUUAGUGUGGGAAAACAGGCAUGAUGGAUCACUGACUAAAUUUGAGGAUGCUUUUCAGCUUCUAAAUCCUCUCUCAGCUGCUCUUAAAUGUUCACGGUUGUGAAGUCUCAUAGUUUUACAGUCAUAAGAGAGACUUUCCUGCAGAUGGUCCUGAUCCAAAGAAGACCAUAGCCUGGUGACUCUGAGGUUGGGAUACACAUGGUCUAAUUCCAGAUGCCUGCAAUGAGAUUCAUAUGAGUCAUUGGAAUGAGCUACACAGACAUCUUCCAAGAGAAGAAGACAAUACAGGGUGUGUCAAUGAGGAGUGAUGGACAAGAACAUAAAUCUGCAAACCACAGACGCCACAGUGCAACCCGGCCAUGAAUGAAUUUACCCAGCUGGCAGAAAGCAAAAGUUUAGAUCAAGACCAAAAGUGCCAAGCACAAUUAUUUUGUUUCAAAUACAUAGUUCCAGACCUGAUGCUCUCCCCAAACUCUCCCCAGAUGUUCUAACCUAAGUGAAAUAUUUCAUUGUGGAGUCAUGCUGUGAGUCCUCAGUGGCUUUUUUAUUUGAGGUUCCAGGAGGAAAGAUGAAUUCCAGCAGCCUGGAAGGGUACAACUGGAGAGGCAGAUGAGGCACUGAGCUGCUCCAGGACUUUCCAGUUUAGAUUUCACUGAAACAAAUACAAAUUUUAGGGAAAGCUAAUAACAGUUAAGGAUCCAUUCACACUGAACAUAUUUCCAAAACUACUUAAAAUACGUUACUCCCAUCCAUUUAACUGACAUUUUUCUUGUAAGGAGACAGCUAAUGGGUGAGUUAUUAAAUACUCAUUAUUUAAUACUUCUCUGGUACAUAUAUGGUCCAAAUACCCCACACAAUAACGCAAAAAUGUGUGUUAAAAUACAGUCCACCUGUACCUUUAUCACAUCUGAUCCAAAGAAUGGCAGAUCUUUCCCAGUGACGAAUAAUUAUUAAACCAGUGCGACGUAUCCUUCAAUUAAAUAAGCACACUUAAUUUCAGGUAGUCCUCCUGCAACACCUUUAUGAUGAUCAUAUUUAAAUAAGAUUAAAAUCUUUCCAGCAUAAAUAUAGUCUGUCUAAAAUUCUACAGUUCACAAACUUGUAAUAAAACAAUGCUUUCAAAUGUAUCUAAACUCUUAGUAGGGAGGAGAAAGGAAAGGAUCUC
This is a non-coding RNA of Cyanistes caeruleus (blue tit), 1947 nucleotides long. NCBI's taxonomy places the organism in Eukaryota, Metazoa, Chordata, Aves, Passeriformes, Paridae. The record is from RefSeq and is a predicted model, not a curated record.